UUGAUAUAGCUUUAGAGUUUUGUGAGAUAUGUACAUUAAUGCUAUUAGGGUGUGGGGCUACGCCCACUUUUUAAAAAUUUGAUGUCCUCAGUUGCCUCUUACCACUGCAAUUAUCUGUAUCAAAUUAAUUAGGACCUUAGUUAUAGUACUUUAUAGGUUUUUGCUUAAUGGCGUUUAGUGUGCGGGGCAAUUUUAAUCAAUAUAUAUAAAUUUUUAUUAAAGUUUUCACUUACACGGACGGUUGGACAAACAUACGGUCAUUCGGAAUUCAACUUAUCUUAUCAUCCUGAUCAUUUAUAUACAUAUAUAUAACUCUUUAUCUACAUCGAUGAGUUUUAGCUGGGAGUAUAAAAAUUAAUGUUAUUUUCUUCGUUACAAAGUACUAAUAUUAACGCUGGUGCUCUAAUGGAUGUACACUUGUGUCCAGCGCUUUUUGGGUCCGAUCGGAUCAAAAUGGAUAGUUUCAUUUGCCUUUCGCAGUUUGGUUGGUAAGCAGUGAUGGAUUACCGCCUAGGCCUGUGAGGCCCGGGCCUAGGGCGGCGCAAUUUGGGGGGCUGCAAAUUUUUCAGAAUAUCAAAAUUUUAAACCUGAUAUAAUGUAACGACAAUACAUUUUAAGUAUUUAUUCUGAUUUAUUUUAUAUAAAUUUACGGAUAAAUUUCUAUGAAA
Long non-coding RNA from Bactrocera oleae (olive fruit fly), 668 nucleotides. RefSeq lists it as uncharacterized. Lineage: Eukaryota; Metazoa; Arthropoda; Insecta; Diptera; Tephritidae. The record is from RefSeq and is a predicted model, not a curated record.